RNAcentral lists this transfer RNA (83 nucleotides) under Nitrospina gracilis 3/211. It matches the Rfam family "tRNA". Rfam says of the family: Transfer RNA (tRNA) molecules are approximately 80 nucleotides in length. Their secondary structure includes four short double-helical elements and three loops (D, anti-codon, and T loops). Lineage: Bacteria; Pseudomonadati; Nitrospinota; Nitrospinia; Nitrospinales; Nitrospinaceae. The record is from Rfam by way of RNAcentral.
GCCGGGGUGGUGGAACGGUUUACACAGUGGACUUAAAAUCCAUGCCCUGAAAAGGGUUGCGGGUUCGAAUCCCGCCCCCGGCA